Molecule: ribosomal RNA, 253 nt
Filed under: uncultured bacterium
Lineage: Bacteria
Description: partial 16S ribosomal RNA
Rfam family: Bacterial small subunit ribosomal RNA
Source: RNAcentral
UACGGAGGGUGCAAGCGUUAUCCGGAUUUACUGGGUUUAAAGGGAGCGCAGGCGGAUUGGUAAGUCAGUGGUGAAAUACCCGUGCUUAACAUGGGAACUGCCAUUGAUACUAUCAGUCUUGAAUGUUGUUGAGGUUUGCGGAAUGGGUCAUGUAGCGGUGAAAUGCAUAGAUAUGACCCGGAACACCUAUUGCGAAGGCAGCAGGCUAAACAAAUAUUGACGCUGAGGCUCGAAAGCGUGGGGAGCAAACAGG